Molecule: ribosomal RNA, 436 nt
Filed under: uncultured bacterium
Lineage: Bacteria
Description: bacterial SSU rRNA
Rfam family: Bacterial small subunit ribosomal RNA
Source: RNAcentral
AACGCGAAGAACCUUACCUGGCCUUGACAUGUCCGGAAUCCUGCAGAGAUGCGGGAGUGCCUUCGGGAAUCGGAACACAGGUGCUGCAUGGCUGUCGUCAGCUCGUGUCGUGAGAUGUUGGGUUAAGUCCCGCAACGAGCGCAACCCUUGUCCUUAGUUGCCAGCACGUAAUGGUGGGAACUCUAAGGAGACUGCCGGUGACAAACCGGAGGAAGGUGGGGAUGACGUCAAGUCCUCAUGGCCCUUACGGCCAGGGCUACACACGUGCUACAAUGGUCGGUACAGAGGGUUGCAAAGCCGCGAGGUGGAGCCAAUCCCAGAAAGCCGAUCCCAGUCCGGAUCGAAGUCUGCAACUCGACUUCGUGAAGUCGGAAUCGCUAGUAAUCGCGGAUCAGCUAUGCCGCGGUGAAUACGUUCCCGGGUCUUGUACACACCG